This 1449-nucleotide ribosomal RNA is filed under the name uncultured organism. RNAcentral's name for it is "SSU rRNA". It matches the Rfam family "Bacterial small subunit ribosomal RNA". The record is from RNAcentral.
AUGAACGCUAGCUACAGGCUUAACACAUGCAAGUCGAGGGGCAGCAUGGUCUUAGCUUGCUAAGGCCGAUGGCGACCGGCGCACGGGUGAGUAACGCGUAUCCAACCUGCCUUACACUCUUGGACAGCCUUCUGAAAGGGAGAUUAAUACAAGAUGUUAUCAUGAGUAAGCAUUUUCGCAUGAUUAAAGGUUUACCGGUGUAAGAUGGGGAUGCGUUCCAUUAGAUAGUAGGCGGGGUAACGGCCCACCUAGUCUUCGAUGGAUAGGGGUUCUGAGAGGAAGGUCCCCCACAUUGAAACUGAGACACGGUCCAAACUCCUACGGGAGGCAGCAAUGAGGAAUAUUGGUCAAUGGACGAGAGUCUGAACCAGCCAAGUAGCGUGAAGGAUGAAGGUUCUAUGGAUUGUAAACUUCUUUUAUACGGGAAUAAACGGAUCCACGUGUGGAUUUUUGCAUGUACCGUAUGAAUAAGGAUCGGCUAACUCCGUGCCAGCAGCCGCGGUAAUACGGAGGAUCCGAGCGUUAUCCGGAUUUAUUGGGUUUAAAGGGAGCGUAGAUGGGUUGUUAAGUCAGUUGUGAAAGUUUGCGGCUCAACCGUAAAAUUGCAAUUGAUACUGGCAGUCUUGAGUACAGUUGAGGUAGGCGGAAUUCGUGGUGUAGCGGUGAAAUGCUUAGAUAUCACGAAGAACUCCGAUUGCGAAGGCAGCUUACUAACCUGUAACUGACAUUGAUGCUCGAAAGUGUGGGUAUCAAACAGGAUUAGAUACCCUGGUAGUCCACACGGUAAACGAUGAAUACUCGCUGUAGGCGAUAUACAGUCUGCGGCCAAGCGAAAGCAUUAAGUAUUCCACCUGGGGAGUACGCCGGCAACGGUGAAACUCAAAGGAAUUGACGGGGGCCCGCACAAGCGGAGGAACAUGUGGUUUAAUUCGAUGAUACGCGAGGAACCUUACCCGGGCUUAAAUUGCAACCGAAUAUGGCGGAAACGCUAUAGCUAGCAAUAGCGGUUGUGAAGGUGCUGCGUGGUUGUCGUCAGCUCGUGCCGUGAGGUGUCGGCUUAAGUGCCAUAACGAGCGCAACCCUUGCCGAUAGUUACUAACAGGUUAUGCUGAGGACUCUGUCGGGACUGCCAUCGUAAGAUGUGAGGAAGGUGGGGAUGACGUCAAAUCAGCACGGCCCUUACGUCCGGGGCUACACACGUGUUACAAUGGGGGGUACAGAGGGCUGCUACCACGCAAGUGGAUGCCAAUCCCAAAAACCUCUCUCAGUUCGGAUUGAAGUCUGCAACCCGACUUCAUGAAGCUGGAUUCGCUAGUAAUCGCGCAUCAGCCACGGCGCGGUGAAUACGUUCCCGGGCCUUGUACACACCGCCCGUCAAGCCAUGGGAGCCGGGGGUACCUGAAGUGCGUAACCGCAAGGAGCGCCCUAGGGUAAAACUGGUGACUGGGG